GUAGUCCACGCCGUAAACGAUGUCAACUAGCCGUCGGACUCCUUGAGGGUUUGGUGGCGCAGCUAACGCGAUAAGUUGACCGCCUGGGGAGUACGGCCGCAAGGUUAAAACUCAAAUGAAUUGACGGGGGCCCGCACAAGCGGUGGAGCAUGUGGUUUAAUUCGAUGCAACGCGAAGAACCUUACCAGGCCUUGACAUCCUCGGAACUUAGCAGAGAUGCUUCGGUGCCUUCGGGAGCCGAGAGACAGGUGCUGCAUGGCUGUCGUCAGCUCGUGUCGUGAGAUGUUGGGUUAAGUCCCGUAACGAGCGCAACCCUUGUCCUUAGUUGCCAGCGCGUAAUGGCGGGAACUCUAGGGAGACCGCCGGUGACAAACCGGA
Molecule: ribosomal RNA, 378 nt
Filed under: uncultured bacterium
Lineage: Bacteria
Description: bacterial SSU rRNA
Rfam family: Bacterial small subunit ribosomal RNA
Source: RNAcentral